RNAcentral lists this ribosomal RNA (442 nucleotides) under Micrococcus sp. oral taxon F54. Its description in RNAcentral is "bacterial SSU rRNA". It matches the Rfam family "Bacterial small subunit ribosomal RNA", at positions 28 to 484 of the family's 1533-position model. The record is from RNAcentral. Lineage: Bacteria; Bacillati; Actinomycetota; Actinomycetes; Micrococcales; Micrococcaceae.
GAUGAACGCUGGCGGCGUGCUUAACACAUGCAAGUCGAACGAUGAAGCCCAGCUUGCUGGGUGGAUUAGUGGCGAACGGGUGAGUAACACGUGAGUAACCUGCCCUUGACUCUGGGAUAAGCCCGGGAAACUGGGUCUAAUACCGGAUAGGAGCGCCUGUCGCAUGACGGGUGUUGGAAAGAUUUUUCGGUCAUGGAUGGACUCGCGGCCUAUCAGCUUGUUGGUGAGGUAAUGGCUCACCAAGGCGACGACGGGUAGCCGGCCUGAGAGGGUGACCGGCCACACUGGGACUGAGACACGGCCCAGACUCCUACGGGAGGCAGCAGUGGGGAAUAUUGCACAAUGGGCGGAAGCCUGAUGCAGCGACGCCGCGUGAGGGAUGACGGCCUUCGGGUUGUAAACCUCUUUCAGUAGGGAAGAAGCGAAAGUGACGUACCUGCAG